Molecule: ribosomal RNA, 484 nt
Filed under: uncultured bacterium
Lineage: Bacteria
Description: partial 16S ribosomal RNA
Rfam family: Bacterial small subunit ribosomal RNA
Source: RNAcentral
GACGAACGCUGGCGGCGUGCUUAACACAUGCAAGUCGAACGAUGAAGCCGGAGCUUGCUCUGGUGAAUUAGUGGCGAACGGGUGAGUAACACGUGAGUAACCUGCCCUUGACUCUGGGAUAACUGCGGGAAACUGUAGCUAAUACCGGAUACGACCCUCGGAGGCAUCUCCUGGGGGUGGAAAGAAUUUCGGUCAAGGAUGGACUCGCGGCCUAUCAGCUAGUUGGUGAGGUAAAGGCUCACCAAGGCGACGGCGGGUAGCCGGCCUGAGAGGGUGACCCGCCACCAUGGGACUGAGACACGGCCCAGACGCCGACGGGAGGCAGCAGUGGGGAAUAUUGCACAAUGGGCGCAAGCCUGAGGCACCGACGCAGCGUGAGGGAGGACGGCCUUCGGGUUGUAAACCUCUUUUAGCAGGGAAGAAGCGAAAGUGACGGUACCUGCAGAAAAAGCACCGGCUAACUACGUGCCAGCAGCCGCCGUAA